AGGCGAAAAGAACCCCGGCGAGGGGAGUGAAAAAGAACCUGAAACCGUGUACGUACAAGCAGUGGGAGCCUCUUUAUGGGGUGACUGCGUACCUUUUGUAUAAUGGGUCAGCGACUUAUAUUCUGUAGCAAGGUUAACCGAAUAGGGGAGCCGAAGGGAAACCGAGUCUUAACUGGGCGUUAAGUUGCAGGGUAUAGACCCGAAACCCGGUGAUCUAGCCAUGGGCAGGUUGAAGGUUGGGUAACACUAACUGGAGGACCGAACCGACUAAUGUUGAAAAAUUAGCGGAUGACUUGUGGCUGGGGGUGAAAGGCCAAUCAAACCGGGAGAUAGCUGGUUCUCCCCGAAAGCUAUUUAGGUAGCGCCUCGUGAACUCAUCUCCGGGGGUAGAGCACUGUUUCGGCAAGGGGGUCAUCCCGACUUACCAACCCGAUGCAAACUGCGAAUACCGGAGAAUGUUAUCACGGGAGACACACGGCGGGGGCUAACGUCCGUCGUGAAGAGGGAAACAACCCAGACCGCCAGCUAAGGUCCCAAAGUCAUGGUUAAGUGGGAAACGAUGUGGGAAGGCCCAGACAGCCAGGAUGUUGGCUUAGAAGCAGCCAUCAUUUAAAGAAAGCGUAAUAGCUCACUGGUCGAGUCGGCCUGCGCGGAAGAUGUAACGGGGCUAAACCAUGCACCGAAGCUGCGGCAGCGACGCUGAUGCGUUGUUGGGUAGGGGAGCGUUCUGUAAGCCUGUGAAGGUGUGCUGUGAGGCAUGCUGGAGGUAUCAGAAGUGCGAAUGCUGACAUAAGUAACGAUAAAGCGGGUGAAAAGCCCGCUCGCCGGAAGACCAAGGGUUCCUGUCCAACGUUAAUCGGGGCAGGGUGAGUCGACCCCUAAGGCGAGGCCGAAAGGCGUAGUCGAUGGGAAACAGGUUAAUAUUCCUGUACUUGGUGUUACUGCGAAGGGGGGACGGAGAAGGCUAUGUUGGCCGGGCGACGGUUGUCCCGGUUUAAGCGUGUAGGCUGGUUUUCCAGGCAAAUCCGGAAAAUCAAGGCUGAGGCGUGAUGACGAGGCACUACGGUGCUGAAGCAACAAAUGCCCUGCUUCCAGGAAAAGCCUCUAAGCAUCAGGUAACAUCAAAUCGUACCCCAAACCGACACAGGUGGUCAGGUAGAGAAUACCAAGGCGCUUGAGAGAACUCGGGUGAAGGAACUAGGCAAAAUGGUGCCGUAACUUCGGGAGAAGGCACGCUGAUAUGUAGGUGAAGUCCCUCGCGGAUGGAGCUGAAAUCAGUCGAAGAUACCAGCUGGCUGCAACUGUUUAUUAAAAACACAGCACUGUGCAAACACGAAAGUGGACGUAUACGGUGUGACGCCUGCCCGGUGCCGGAAGGUUAAUUGAUGGGGUCAGCGCAAGCGAAGCUCUUGAUCGAAGCCCCGGUAAACGGCGGCCGUAACUAUAACGGUCCUAAGGUAGCGAAAUUCCUUGUCGGGUAAGUUCCGACCUGCACGAAUGGCGUAAUGAUGGCCAGGCUGUCUCCACCCGAGACUCAGUGAAAUUGAACUCGCUGUGAAGAUGCAGUGUACCCGCGGCAAGACGGAAAGACCCCGUGAACCUUUACUAUAGCUUGACACUGAACAUUGAGCCUUGAUGUGUAGGAUAGGUGGGAGGCUUAGAAGUGUGGACGCCAGUCUGCAUGGAGCCGACCUUGAAAUACCACCCUUUAAUGUUUGAUGUUCUAACGUUGACCCGUAAUCCGGGUUGCGGACAGUGUCUGGUGGGUAGUUUGACUGGGGCGGUCUCCUCCUAAAGAGUAACGGAGGAGCACGAAGGUUGGCUAAUCCUGGUCGGACAUCAGGAGGUUAGUGCAAUGGCAUAAGCCAGCUUGACUGCGAGCGUGACGGCGCGAGCAGGUGCGAAAGCAGGUCAUAGUGAUCCGGUGGUUCUGAAUGGAAGGGCCAUCGCUCAACGGAUAAAAGGUACUCCGGGGAUAACAGGCUGAUACCGCCCAAGAGUUCAUAUCGACGGCGGUGUUUGGCACCUCGAUGUCGGCUCAUCACAUCCUGGGGCUGAAGUAGGUCCCAAGGGUAUGGCUGUUCGCCAUUUAAAGUGGUACGCGAGCUGGGUUUAGAACGUCGUGAGACAGUUCGGUCCCUAUCUGCCGUGGGCGCUGGAGAACUGAGGGGGGCUGCUCCUAGUACGAGAGGACCGGAGUGGACGCAUCACUGGUGUUCGGGUUGUCAUGCCAAUGGCACUGCCCGGUAGCUAAAUGCGGAAGAGAUAAGUGCUGAAAGCAUCUAAGCACGAAACUUGCCCCGAGAUGAGUUCUCCCUGACUCCUUGAGAGUCCUGAAGGAACGUUGAAGACGACGACGUUGAUAGGCCGGGUGUGUAAGCGCAGCGAUGCGUUGAGCUAACCGGUACUAAUGAACCGUGAGGCUUAACCUUACAACGCCGAAG
This 2444-nucleotide ribosomal RNA is filed under the name Escherichia coli. RNAcentral describes it as "bacterial LSU rRNA". It matches the Rfam family "Bacterial large subunit ribosomal RNA", at positions 512 to 2925 of the family's 2925-position model. Lineage: Bacteria; Pseudomonadati; Pseudomonadota; Gammaproteobacteria; Enterobacterales; Enterobacteriaceae. The record is from RNAcentral.